GCAGCUGUAGCUCAGUGGUACAGUGCGUGCCUAUAAUGCAUGAGAUCUUGGGUUCAAUUCCCAGCACUACA
Molecule: transfer RNA, 71 nt
Filed under: Heterocephalus glaber (naked mole-rat)
Lineage: Eukaryota; Metazoa; Chordata; Mammalia; Rodentia; Bathyergidae
Rfam family: tRNA
About the family: Transfer RNA (tRNA) molecules are approximately 80 nucleotides in length. Their secondary structure includes four short double-helical elements and three loops (D, anti-codon, and T loops). Further hydrogen bonds mediate the characteristic L-shaped molecular structure. tRNAs have two regions of fundamental functional importance: the anti-codon, which is responsible for specific mRNA codon recognition, and the 3' end, to which the tRNAs corresponding amino acid is attached (by aminoacyl-tRNA synthetases). tRNAs cope with the degeneracy of the genetic code in two manners: having more than one tRNA (with a specific anti-codon) for a particular amino acid; and 'wobble' base-pairing, i.e. permitting non-standard base-pairing at the 3rd anti-codon position.
Source: Rfam by way of RNAcentral